CACUCCUACGGGAGGCAGCAGUGGGGAAUAUUGCACAAUGGGCGCAAGCCUGAUGCAGCGACGCCGCGUGGGGGAUGAAGGCCUUCGGGUUGUAAACUCCUUUCGCUAGGGACGAAGCUUUUUUGUGACGGUACCUAGAUAAGAAGCACCGGCUAACUACGUGCCAGCAGCCGCGGUAAUACGUAGGGUGCGAGCGUUGUCCGGAAUUACUGGGCGUAAAGGGCUCGUAGGUGGUUUGUCGCGUCGUCUGUGAAAUUCUGGGGCUUAACUCCGGGCGUGCAGGCGAUACGGGCAUAACUUGAGUGCUGUAGGGGUAACUGGAAUUCCUGGUGUAGCGGUGAAAUGCGCAGAUAUCAGGAGGAACACCGAUGGCGAAGGCAGGUUACUGGGCAGUUACUGACGCUGAGGAGCGAAAGCAUGGGUAGCGAACAGGAUUAGAAACCCUUGUAGUCCCAU
RNAcentral lists this ribosomal RNA (456 nucleotides) under uncultured organism. RNAcentral describes it as "partial 16S ribosomal RNA". It matches the Rfam family "Bacterial small subunit ribosomal RNA", at positions 334 to 798 of the family's 1533-position model. The record is from RNAcentral.